Molecule: ribosomal RNA, 500 nt
Filed under: uncultured Glomeromycotina
Lineage: Eukaryota; Fungi; Glomeromycota
Description: partial small subunit ribosomal RNA
Rfam family: Eukaryotic small subunit ribosomal RNA
Source: RNAcentral
CCAAUAGCGUAUAUUAAAGUUGUUGCAGUUAAAAAGCUCGUAGUUGAAUUUCGGGAUCAAUAUGUCGGUCGUGCCUUCGGUACGUACUGGUAUCAUUGGUCUCUCCUUUCUGACGAACCAUGAUGUCAUUAAUUUGGUGUUAUGGGGAGUUAGGACUGUUACUUUGAAAAAAUUAGAGUGUUUAAAGCAGGCUUUAGCUUGAAUACAUUAGCAUGGAAUAAUGAAAUAGGACGUUCGAACCUAUUUUGUUGGUUUCUAGGAUCAACGUAAUGAUUAAUAGGGAUAGUUGGGGGCAUUAGUAUUCAAUUGUCAGAGGUGAAAUUCUUGGAUUUAUUGAAGACUAACUACUGCGAAAGCAUUUGCCAAGGAUGUUUUCAUUAAUCAAGAACGGAAGUUAGGGGAUCGAAGACGAUCAGAUACCGUCGUAGUCUUAACCAUAAACUAUGCCGACUAGGGAUCGGAUGAUGUUAAUUUUUUAAUGACUCAUUCGGCGCCUUACG